GACAGAGGGUGCAAACGUUGUUCGGAAUUACUGGGCGUAAAGCGCGUGUAGGCGGCAGCGUGUGUCGGGCGUGAAAUCCCACGGCUCAACCGUGGAAGUGCACCCGAAACUGCGCAGCUAGAGUCCUGGAGAGGAAGGCGGAAUACUUGGUGUAGAGGUGAAAUUCGUAGAUAUCAAGUGGAACACCGGUGGCGAAGGCGGCCUUCUGGACAGUGACUGACGCUGAGACGCGAAGGCCAGGGGAGCAAACGGG
Molecule: ribosomal RNA, 253 nt
Filed under: uncultured bacterium
Lineage: Bacteria
Description: partial 16S ribosomal RNA
Rfam family: Bacterial small subunit ribosomal RNA
Source: RNAcentral